CACCGGCGGCUCGAGUGGUGGCCACUUUUAUUGGGUCUAAAGCGUCCGUAGCCGGCUUGGCAAGUCCCCUGGGAAAUCUGGCGGCUUAACCGUCAGGCGUCCAGAGGAUACUGCCAGGCUUGGGACCGGGAGAGGUGAGAGGUACCUCAGGGGUAGGGGUGAAAUCUUGUGAUCCCUGAGGGACCACCAGUGGCGAAGGCGUCUCACUAGAACGGGUCCGACGGUCAGGGACGAAAGCUGGGGGCACGAACCGG
This 254-nucleotide ribosomal RNA is filed under the name uncultured microorganism. RNAcentral's name for it is "partial 16S ribosomal RNA". It matches the Rfam family "Archaeal small subunit ribosomal RNA", at positions 474 to 727 of the family's 1478-position model. The record is from RNAcentral.